UCGAUCACAGCGCGAUGUUUUCGUCGCGCUGUGAUGACGUCAAAUGCGCGCUUUCGUCGAGCGUGAUUUUGUCCUCCACAAUUUUGUGCUGGAACCGUGUUUUUCAACCUCUGUCACUUUAAGAUGCCUGGACUUCAACUCCCAGAAUUCCAUGCUUAUGUGAACUUCAACUUCCAGAAUUCCAUGCUUUAUGUGGAUUUCACCUCCCAGGAUUCCAGGUCUUAAGAUAUGUGGACUUCAAUUGAUGAAGCAUUUAUCACAGGGUUUUUCCGUCUUUACCGCUUUAAGAUGCGUGGACCUCAACUCCCAGAAUUCCAUGCUUCUGUGAACUUCAACUCUCGGGAUACUGUGCUUAACAUAGAUAAACUUCAACUCCCAGCAUUCCAUGCCUCUAUGAACUUCAACUCCCAUGGUUCUACCUGCUUAAGACAGACUACUCAGCUACUUUUCUCCACGUUUUUAGACGG
Molecule: long non-coding RNA, 467 nt
Organism: Thamnophis sirtalis
Lineage: Eukaryota; Metazoa; Chordata; Lepidosauria; Squamata; Natricidae
Source: RefSeq, a predicted model, not a curated record